UACGUAGGUGGCAAGCGUUGUCCGGAUUUACUGGGCGUAAAGAGCGCGCAGGCGGUCGUUCAAGUCGCGUGUGAAAGCCCCCGGCUCAACUGGGGAGGGUCACGCGAUACUGAUCGACUCGAAGGCAGGAGAGGGAAGUGGAAUUCCCGGUGUAGUGGUGAAAUGCGUAGAUAUCUGGAGGAACACCGGUGGCGAAGGCGGCAUCCUGGACCGAUAUUGACGCUGAGGCGCGAAAGCCAGGGGAGCAAACGGG
This 253-nucleotide ribosomal RNA is filed under the name uncultured bacterium. RNAcentral describes it as "partial 16S ribosomal RNA". It matches the Rfam family "Bacterial small subunit ribosomal RNA", at positions 524 to 776 of the family's 1533-position model. The record is from RNAcentral.